CUGAGGGAAAAGUAACUCAGCUUGUGACCAGAGCAGCUAAGCUGAUAAAUGAAAACUUCAGGGGUCCACUGUACUUACCUGGGAGGGGAGAGGAGCCCAGACUUGGAUUCGCAAAAAAGAGCCAGAACUGUAGCCCAAGCACAGGCUAGCUCUGAGCAAGACCUUCUCUGGGUCUUAAGUCCUGUUACCUGCAGGUGAGGUGCCAAUCACCUGGGGUGUCAGGAGCCCUUCCUUCCCAACUGUAAGGCUCUGUUACUGUAGGUGGGGCUUAGAGGCGGGGCGAGGGCGAGGGCGAGAGAGAGGAAUUUCUUUCUUCUCUUGACUUUUAUCCCAGGGAGCAGAUGGCCUUGUGUAUCAGAAGCCACAAUUCAGAUAUGGACAUAAAGUUGAGUCAUUAAAACCACAAGCUGACUCAAUCAACAGCCUGAAAUAGUAGCUGUGACACAAUCACAUGGAUUCUUCCCCUGGACACUCAAAGCACUGUUCUCCCCAACCCAGCAGACCACAGCGCUCUGUCACUUUUAAUGAACCCGCCCUGAUAGGAACUCCUCUUCCAACUCCUCAAUGGGUCUUUGUAUAACUCAUCACUCCCUCAGGUCUCCAGAGACCAGAAGGAUUUUUUUUUUUUAACAUUCCUUUAAAUCCUAGGGAAAAGGCAGUGUCUUGGGCUGCGGACAGCUGCCUCUCUGGGGCCGAGGAGGGCUGUGAGGCACCCGGCGCUGCAGUUCCUCGGCUCAAAGCAGGAACAGAGAUAGCCCAGCCAGGGGUGGCCCAGCUCCGCCCAGCGGCCACUGAAGGAAACCCACGGCCACCAGGGCCUUCAUAGUUUAACACUCUCACAGGCCUUUUAGGUCUAGUCUCCUUCUUUUCUUCUCAAUUGUACUGUCACUGUACCAAAAAAAAAAACUAGCCCUAAGGAAUCCUUGAGCCCAUUCUAGCUCAACUCUCAUUUUCGACGAGAGGACACUGAGCCUCAGAAACCUGUCUAAGGUCCUCUAGACAGCGGCAGUGAGAUCUGACUUCAGGGCUUUUGAUCCCUACCUAGUCCUGUGCGUUUUACACCGAACGUGAUGCCUGGCCUUCUGUCUAAGUUUACAGUAAGGCCGCAUCACCUUCUAGGAAGUGAGUACACAUGGGAAUUACCAGAGUAACUAGAAAUAUCUCCCGAGAGGCCUUCCCAGAUGUUUAGGUGUGUUCUGUGAACCCAGAAAGAUAAGGAUACAGGAUGGAGCCAAUUUUAAAAGUAUGCAGUUGUCAUUUUUACCUUCUUUUUGCUUCAGUAUCUCCUAGGCAAAGUCUCGUCCUAGUCCCUCUUGCACUGGGCAACAGUACUUUGACCAAUUCAAGUCCUCUGCUGGAAGCUUUGGGUCUACCACAACCCCUGCUUUCCCUGCUGUCAGUCCUGGUUUCCCACUAGGGAAGAAGUAGAGAAUGGGGCCUCCCCGGCAGAGGGAAGCCACUGAAGUCUGGCUGCCUGUGUCCAGGAAGCACCUGGGAUUCUGGUUUAGUUCCAAAGGAAAAAGCUUGGAAGGGAAUUCCCCACCAAAAGUCUGAUGCUGGCUGGCACUGAGCUGAGAGGAUAGAGGAAAACGGGGAGAGGCAACAUACUUUUGUUUGUCUAGAAAUGCUUCAUGUCAGGCCACUGACAUCACCUUAUAUGGUGGGGAGGAACAAUGUCGCAAGAAUCACUACAGCCUAAAUCACAAAAAUACUACCAGCCUCAUACUCUAGCCAAACCUGGGUCUAUAAGACUAAGUACUCUAUCCCAGAAAGAUCCAAGUCCAGCAAACCCACCUCCUCCCUUCUAGAAAGCCUGCACUCAGUGUAAGAAAACAGGUUAAGAGUUCUAACUGGGGACUCUGCUGUUUAGGGAAGGUUCUGAAGUCAUACAGAAGAGCCCUUAGAUGGGAACUUCCCUCUGGGGAGAAACAGGCAGCUAGCCAUUCAGUAUGAACCGCAGAGUGAUCUACCUUGGGGCCAGGACACCAGGUGUGUGUGGGUUAGCGUAAUCUCUACCUUUGGUCAUAAAGCCCCCCUUCCAGAAUGUGACAGGUACCAGAGGCCCUGCAGCUAUCACUGUACUGCGAGCUGAGCACUGCUCACAGCAAACCACAUCGGCCCACAGACUGCACGAGACAGGGACCAGGGAAUGUAGCUCUACCUACCUCAGGAGUAGAACCUCUUAACGCUGCCUUUUCUGUAGUUCCCACCCUUCAGCCUAGGAAAGAAGCCACCAUUCCUAGCCCCACUGCACUCGGUGGUGCAGGCCAGGAGGGGCAGCUCUGGCCAUACCUUCUGCUGGACCAGUCACUCGGCCACUACACACUUCCCUCAAAGGCAAUUUAUCUGUUGAUCCUUCCCCAUACUAAUGCCUGGAUCAUCUGUCCUCCUCUCCCCAUAAUUCUUCUUAGAGGCUCUGGCUCAACAAAAUCCACUUAAAUCUUCUGAAGGCCGAGAGAGGAGGUGGUGUGGGAGCCCAUGGGGAAGGCACAGGCCGUGGAGGCUGAGUGCACGGGAUAGGAAGGCCAUCCUCAGUCACAGCCUGUCCGCUGAGAUGCCUACCUGAGGCCCAAGACAAGCAGGACCGGGAGCAGAGAGGCCUCACGGCCUUGGGCACUCAGGCCCGGCUCCAUCUGCUUACCUCCCUGACGGGGUCCUCUCUUCCGCCGGAACGCUGCGCCCGACUGCAGGGCUUCCAGGAGACUGUCCAUCACGCCCGUCUCAUCGCCCUCUGCCGUGGACAGAGAUGGAGAGGGAUUUCUGGGGCUUGGAACCACCUUCUAGCUGCACACCAAUCCGCCUCACCUCGGCUGGCUUUCUCCACGUGGGCAAGCUCAUCGGGAAACUUGAGGACAUCAGGGUAGUCAUUCUCACACAACUCAGCCAAGAAAUGCAGUAACGUCAUCUUCUGAUCUGCGGACUUGGUGUCUCGAAGCUGGUGGGGAAGAGGAGAAAGGGUGAGUCUUGACACACCAAGGUCGCCUCAGGCCGACAGCGGUUUCCCAUGCUGGGCUCCUAGAGGCCACAGCCUUCCCUUCUGUGGUCCCGCUCUAACCCCUGCUCACCUUACAGAGGAAGCUGAUGUUGAAGCCGAAAGCACCAGCAUUCCUGGAGCCAGCAUUCAUAUAGUUUCCGACAAGCAAGGUAAUCUCCAGGAGACUAGAGAAGUUCUCGCUCUUCCGCAACUCCUCACACGCGGCAGUCACAGAGACAAUCUCUGGCUUGAUGUUCUCCACUUGCUCGCUGAACUGCAGCCUGAAGAGGAUGGCGUUGAGGCGAGGCCGCAGGCGGGGCACAGCGCCCAUCUAGGGGAGACCAGCAGUUCCAUUACAGCCAACAGAGAGAGAGGAAAGGCAGAAAAAGGUACAGGCUUGAGCUGCACGGGGUUGUACAUGAUCUGAGUUCCCGAGCAGGGAGGAGAAAGCAAGAAAGAUGGGUUCAAAAUAGGUAAGAGGCCAGGAGCAAGUGCCCGGAGGGAGGAGGGGAGCAAGGGGUCACAGAAGAGCCUGUGUCACAGGCCUCACUCACCACCACACCGAACUGCUCCGACUCAGCCAGAUCAUCAUAUUCGUCCUUCAGUUCAGAAAGCAUUUUUAACUGCUCUGGCUCUGGCAUCUGCUUAAUGAGGUUCUGAAAGGGAGAAGGGACUGUCUCAGUUUGAGGGGGAUGAGCUGACAGCUCAAGCCUCCAGUCAAGUCCCUCACUCUGCCCAAGGACCACUCGGAAGGAAACAUGGGCUAGGGGUGGGGGGUGGUGGCAGGACUUCUGAAAAAUAUACCAGAAAUAACCUGAUCCCCAGAGAGAUGGAAGCUUAUCCAAAGCCAGCAUUCUUUAAACCAACAAUGCUUAAAGCAUCCUUAUCGUGUAAGCACAGAGGAGACAAAGCUAGUGUACAACGAUGCAAAGGGCCAGCUCCAUAAUGACCUUGCUUCUUACCUGGAUCAUAGACUCUGUCAGAACAGCCUCAUUCACCUCCAGGAUGACAUUCUUAAUCUCUUGAUAGGGCAUGCGGAAGGAACCCAGAAAGAUGGCUGCCAGGGGAGGAGAUAAAAAGACAUGUCCUUUUGAGUCUCUUCCCUCUUCCAGCCCAUCCUACAAACCUACGCUGGACAAUUUUCCUAGGAGUGAUCUUUGAAAGUCAGUCAGAAGCCUCCACUAGCUCUGCACUGCCUAUAUAGUUAGGAUGCACGUUCCUGAGCCCAGUGUUUUAAGGUUCCCACCCCCCCAGCUUUCUCUCCCAUCAAUCCCCACAUUGAUGUCACACACCAGCCACAGUUCCACGCAUCACAUUCUGCAAACACCGUGACUCCUUGCCUCUGCUGACAGGAAGUCUUUGAUCUAUCUAUAUACAUCAAAGACGUUUAGCCAGCUCUAUUUCAGUUCCUCACUCUCAUGACUCCAUCCUCAGAGCUGCCCCUGUCCUGAAAUGCUCUGAUCCUAACUACCAAAUCCCAUUCCCUGCCCAGCACUUCCCGUCCUUCCAGCUCCCUCAUUCAUCUCCACACUGACUCUUCAACCUCAUCGGAGCGCACGCACUCUCCCUCGUGCGAGAGAGAUGACAAGUCCGUUUUCUCUAAAUGUCUCCGUUCUACUCUGCCUUCUCCAUUUCACUCCCUCUCUAUUAUUACUACUGUCCCUACUCUCUUGUUUCCUUCACCUUCCAGUCCCUGGUUAAUCCAGCCAUCCCACUUCUCCUCUCACACCCAGGCUGGUGAACAGUGCUAGUGAAAACCCUGCAGGUCACAUUCUAUGAAUCUGUAGUGGCACCAGGGAUUGGGUGGGGGAGGCGGGGGGGAAGCUCAGUGCUGCCUAGUAAUCCUUCUGUGUGUCCCUGGGCCACGCUCUCCUGGCAGCCCCACCACAUAAAAUCCCCCUUUCUCUCAAUGGUCCCACCCCUUCCCCAUCUGUUUUAAUUAAGGAAAACUGAAGCCACUGGUCAAGUUACUUGCUAAGCUCUCUCUUAUGCCACUUAUAAACUGAGCACUGAGGGCUCUCAGUUGGCCCCAGACCAGAAAAGGCUUGAGUCUAGACUACACUGGAAUUAUUUAGAGGAAAACUUGUGCCAGCACUUCUGUAAGCUUAUCAGAGCUGUGUCCACGUAACAUUUCUUUUCCAUGUUUCAGUAGAACAGGUGCCCUAGCGUCCUCUUCCUCCAGCAAUAUCCAGUCAGCGCUCCACACCAUGGAUACAGAGGGCCGACUGUCUACACCAUUGUACAUAAGGGACUCAUGCACCUGUAGAUUCGGGUGUCCACAGAGGUCUUGGAACCAAUCCCCCAAAGGUACCAAGGGUACCUGGAGAAGAUCCUGCGAAGUGGAACUGUCUCACAUCACUUUAGUUUCCAUAAACGGACUUACCUACACGCACUAUUUAGUACUAUUUGUUGUCAAUGAUCUAAGAUUGUACAGUCAAGAAUAAUGUAAAGGCUUACUGCUCUUAUUGUAUGACUGACUUUA
Non-coding RNA from Vicugna pacos (alpaca), 5456 nucleotides. The record is from RefSeq and is a predicted model, not a curated record. NCBI's taxonomy places the organism in Eukaryota, Metazoa, Chordata, Mammalia, Artiodactyla, Camelidae.